AGUGAGAAUGCCGGAAUGAGUAGCGAGAAUUAUGUGAGAAUCAUAAUGGCCGAAAGUCUAAGGUUUCCUGAGGAAGGUUCGUCCUCUCAGGGUUAGCCGGGAGCUAAGGUGAGGCGGAAACGCGUAGCCGAUGCACAUACGGUAGAAAUUCCGUAGCCUCCGAAGAUUUAAGCACAGGGACACUUUUGAAGGGCUGAGCCGGGCGUUGGUUGCCCCGGUCGAAAGGGACACGAUUGAGUGGAAGUCAGUUUGGAAAGAGGCGAGAAAAGCUGUGUGUAUAUGGAAGGAGCCCGUACCGCAAACCGACACAGGUAGACAGGAAGAAGAUUCUAAGGCCAGCGGGAGAAGGGUUGUUAAGGAACUCGGCAAGUUGACCCCGUAACUUCGGGAGAAGGGGUGCUUACGAAGGUAAGCCGCAGAGAAUAGGCCCAAGCGACUGUUUAGCAAAAACACAGCUCUAUGCUAAAUCGAAAGAUGACGUAUAUGGGGUGACACCUGCCCGGUGCUGGAAGGUUAAGAGGAGAUGUGAGAGCAUUGAAUUGAAGCCCCAGUAAACGGCGGCCGUAACUAUAACGGUCCUAAGGUAGCGAAAUUCCUUGUCAGGUAAGUUCUGACCCGCACGAAUGGUGUAACGAUCUGGACACUGUCUCAACAACCCGCCCGGCGAAAUUGUAGUACCGGUGAAGAUGCCGGUUACCCGCGACUAGACGGAAAGACCCCAUGGAGCUUUACUGUAGCCUAAUAUUGGAUUUCGGUAUUUCAUGUACAGGAUAGGUGGGAGACUGGGAAAUACAGGCGUCAGCUUGUAUGGAGUCAUUGUUGGGAUACCACUCUUGAGGUGCUGGAAUUCUAACCUGUGGCCUUGAAUCAGGUCAGGGGACAUUGUUAGGCGGGCAGUUUGACUGGGGCGGUCGCCUCCUAAAAGGUAACGGAGGCGCUCAAAGGUUCGCUCAGCAUGGACGGAAACCAUGCCAGAGAGUGCAAACGCAUAAGCGAGCCUAACUGCGAGACUGACGGGUCGAGCAGUAACGAAAGUUGGAGUUAGUGAUCCGGCGGUAUAUGUGAGUGGAAAUGCCGUCGCUCAACGGAUAAAAGCUACCCUGGGGAUAACAGGCUGAUCUCCCCCAAGAGUCCACAUCGACGGGGAGGUUUGGCACCUCGAUGUCGGCUCAUCGCAUCCUGGGGCUGAAUUCGGUCCCAAGGGUUUGGCUGUUCGCCAAUUAAAGCGGUACGCGAGCUGGGUUCAGAACGUCGUGAGACAGUUCGGUCCCUAUCUGUCGUGGGCGUAGGAUAUUUGCAAGGAGCUGUCCCUAGUACGAGAGGACCGGGAUGGACGCACCUCUGGUGCACCAGUUGUCACGCCAGUGGCACAGCUGGGCAGCUAUGUGCGGAACGGAUAAACGCUGAAAGCAUCUAAGCGUGAAGCCGCCCUUAAGAUAAGAUCUCCUUUAAGACCCCUUGUAGACUACGAGGUUGAUAGGUCUGAUGUGUAAGCAUGGUGACAUGUUUAGCUUGCAGAUACUAAUCGGUCGUUCGCUUUUCCU
This 1544-nucleotide ribosomal RNA is filed under the name human gut metagenome. RNAcentral's name for it is "bacterial LSU rRNA". It matches the Rfam family "Bacterial large subunit ribosomal RNA", at positions 1287 to 2925 of the family's 2925-position model. The record is from RNAcentral.